RNAcentral lists this ribosomal RNA (247 nucleotides) under uncultured bacterium. Its description in RNAcentral is "partial 16S ribosomal RNA". It matches the Rfam family "Bacterial small subunit ribosomal RNA", at positions 57 to 305 of the family's 1533-position model. The record is from RNAcentral.
GCAAGUCGAGCGCGAACGUUCCUUCGGGAAUUAUUAGAGCGGCGGACGGGUGAGUAACGCGUGGGAAUCUGCCCAGUAGUGGGGGACAACAGUUGGAAACGACUGCUAAUACCGCAUACGCCCUACGGGGGAAAGGAGGGGACUCUUCGGAGCCUUUCGCUAUUGGAUGAGCCCGCGUGAGAUUAGGUAGUUGGUGAGGUAAAAGCUCACCAAGGCGACGAUCUCUAGCUGGUCUGAGAGGAUGAUC